RNAcentral lists this ribosomal RNA (405 nucleotides) under uncultured fungus. Its description in RNAcentral is "SSU rRNA". It matches the Rfam family "Eukaryotic small subunit ribosomal RNA", at positions 539 to 962 of the family's 1831-position model. The record is from RNAcentral. Lineage: Eukaryota; Fungi.
UUUUGCAAGUCUGGUGCCAGCAGCCGCGGUAAUUCCAGCUCCAAUAGCGUAUAUUAAAGUUGUUGCAGUUAAAAAGCUCGUAGUUGAACUUUGGGCCCGGUUGGCCGGUCCGAUUUUUUCGUGUACUGGAUUUCCAACGGGGCCUUUCCUUCUGGCUAACCUUGAGUCCUUGUGGCUCUUGGCGAACCAGGACUUUUACUUUGAAAAAAUUAGAGUGUUCAAAGCAGGCGUAUUGCUCGAAUAUAUUAGCAUGGAAUAAUAGAAUAGGACGUUUGGUUCUAUUUUGUUGGUUUCUAGGACCAUCGUAAUGAUUAAUAGGGACGGUCGGGGGCAUCAGUAUUCAAUUGUCAGAGGUGAAAUUCUUGGAUUUAUUGAAGACUAACUACUGCGAAAGCAUUUGCCAAA